RNAcentral lists this ribosomal RNA (123 nucleotides) under Heterocephalus glaber (naked mole-rat). Lineage: Eukaryota; Metazoa; Chordata; Mammalia; Rodentia; Bathyergidae. The record is from RNAcentral.
GUCUACAGACAUACUACCCUGAAGGUGCCCGAUCUCGUCUGAUCUCGGAAACUAAGCAGGGUCGGGCCUGGUUAGUACUUGGAUGGGAGGAUUCCCCAUUGUCUAAAAGGAUAUGUGUGGACC